This 816-nucleotide ribosomal RNA is filed under the name uncultured Chroococcidiopsis sp. Its description in RNAcentral is "bacterial SSU rRNA". It matches the Rfam family "Bacterial small subunit ribosomal RNA", at positions 8 to 865 of the family's 1533-position model. The record is from RNAcentral. Lineage: Bacteria; Bacillati; Cyanobacteriota; Cyanophyceae; Chroococcidiopsidales; Chroococcidiopsidaceae.
AGAGUUUGAUCCUGGCUCAGGAUGAACGCUGGCGGUAUGCUUAACACAUGCAAGUCGAACGGAACUCUUCGGAGUUCAGUGGCGGACGGGUGAGUAACGCGUGAGAAUCUGGCUUCAGGUUCGGGACAACCAUUGGAAACGAUGGCUAAUACCGGAUGUGCCGCAGGGUGAAAGAUUAAUUGCCUGAAGAUGAGCUCGCGUCUGAUUAGCUAGUUGGUGGGGUAAGAGCCUACCAAGGCGACGAUCAGUAACUGGUCUGAGAGGAUGACCAGUCACACUGGGACUGAGACACGGCCCAGACUCCUACGGGAGGCAGCAGUGGGGAAUUUUCCGCAAUGGGCGAAAGCCUGACGGAGCAAUACCGCGUGAGGGAGGAAGGCUCUAGGGUUGUAAACCUCUUUUCUCAGGGAAGAAUAAAAUGACGGUACCUGAGGAAUAAGCAUCGGCUAACUCCGUGCCAGCAGCCGCGGUAAUACGGAGGAUGCAAGCGUUAUCCGGAUUUAUUGGGCGUAAAGCGUCCGCAGGUGGCAGUUCAAGUCUGCUGUCAAAGGUCGGGGCUCAACCCCGAACAGGCAGUGGAAACUUAACAGCUAGAGUACGGUAGGGGCAGAGGGAAUUCCCAGUGUAGCGGUGAAAUGCGUGGAGAUUGGGAAGAACACCGGUGGCGAAAGCGCUCUGCUAGGCCGAAACUGACACUCAUGGACGAAAGCUAGGGGAGCGAAUGGGAUUAGAUACCCCAGUAGUCCUAGCCGUAAACGAUGGAUACUAGGCGUUGUGAGUAUCGACCCUCACAGUGUCGUAGCUAACGCGUUAAGU